UGAAACCUCACUUCAUCCUUAUGUAAUGCA
This 30-nucleotide non-coding RNA is filed under the name Mus musculus (house mouse). The record is from RNAcentral. Lineage: Eukaryota; Metazoa; Chordata; Mammalia; Rodentia; Muridae.